CCUACGGGUGGCAGCAGUGGGGAAUAUUGCACAAUGGAGGAAACCCUGAUGCAGCGACGCCGCGUGGGUGAAGGCGCGUUUCGGCGCGUAAAGCCCUGUCGGCAGGGAAGAAGGAGGACGGUACCUGACUAAGAAGCCCCGGCUAACUACGUGCCAGCAGCCGCGGUAAUACGUAGGGGGCAAGAGUUAUCCGGAUUUACUGGGUGUAAGGGGGGCGCAGACGGCAGCGCAAGCCAGGAGUGAAAGCCCGGGGCGCAACCCCGGGACUGCUUUUGGAACUGCGCGGCUGGAGUGCAGGAGGGGCAGGCGGAAUGUCUGGUGUAGCGGUGAAAUGCGUAGAGAUCA
Molecule: ribosomal RNA, 345 nt
Filed under: uncultured bacterium
Lineage: Bacteria
Description: partial 16S ribosomal RNA
Rfam family: Bacterial small subunit ribosomal RNA
Source: RNAcentral